GGAGGGUCUGGGUGUGGCUCAGAGGUAGGGCAUCUGUUUCGCACUCUAAAGGUCCCAGGUUCAAUCCUUGUUUUUUCCA
RNAcentral lists this transfer RNA (79 nucleotides) under Sphaerodactylus townsendi. RNAcentral's name for it is "tRNA-Ala". Lineage: Eukaryota; Metazoa; Chordata; Lepidosauria; Squamata; Sphaerodactylidae. The record is from RNAcentral.